RNAcentral lists this ribosomal RNA (742 nucleotides) under uncultured Hyphomicrobiales bacterium. RNAcentral describes it as "bacterial SSU rRNA". It matches the Rfam family "Bacterial small subunit ribosomal RNA", at positions 8 to 796 of the family's 1533-position model. The record is from RNAcentral. Lineage: Bacteria; Pseudomonadati; Pseudomonadota; Alphaproteobacteria; Hyphomicrobiales.
AGAGUUUGAUCAUGGCUCAGAACGAACGCUGGCGGCAGGCUUAACACAUGCAAGUCGAACGCAUCCUUCGGGGUGAGUGGCAGACGGGUGAGUAACGCGUGGGAACGUGCCCUUCAGUUCGGAAUAACCCAGGGAAACUUGGGCUAAUACCGGAUACGUGCGAGAGCAGAAAGAUUUAUCGCUGAAGGAUCGGCCCGCGUCUGAUUAGCUAGUUGGUAGGGUAAUGGCCUACCAAGGCGACGAUCAGUAGCUGGUCUGAGAGGAUGAUCAGCCACAUUGGGACUGAGACACGGCCCAAACUCCUACGGGAGGCAGCAGUGGGGAAUAUUGGACAAUGGGCGCAAGCCUGAUCCAGCCAUGCCGCGUGAGUGAUGAAGGCCUUAGGGUUGUAAAGCUCUUUCGGCGGGGACGAUAAUGACGGUACCCGCAGAAGAAGCCCCGGCUAACUUCGUGCCAGCAGCCGCGGUAAUACGAAGGGGGCUAGCGUUGUUCGGAAUCACUGGGCGUAAAGGGCGCGUAGGCGGCUUUGUAAGUCGGGGGUGAAAGCCUGUGGCUCAACCACAGAAUUGCCUUCGAUACUGCAUGGCUUGAGACCGGAAGAGGUAAGUGGAACUGCGAGUGUAGAGGUGAAAUUCGUAGAUAUUCGCAAGAACACCAGUGGCGAAGGCGGCUUACUGGUCCGGUUCUGACGCUGAGGCGCGAAAGCGUGGGGAGCAAACAGGAUUAGAUACCCCGGUAGUCC